AGUAACGCAUGGGAACGUACCUUUUGGUUGGGAAUAACCACGGGAAACUGUGGCUAAUACCGAAUAAUCUCGCAAGAGGAAAGAUGGCCUCUACUUGUAAGCUGUCGCCGAUAGAUCGGCCCAUGUCCCAUUAGCUUGUUGGUGAGGUAAAGGCUCACCAAGGCAACGAUGGGUAGCUGGUCUGAGAGGAUGAUCAGCCACACUGGAACUGAGACACGGUCCAGACUCC
This 229-nucleotide ribosomal RNA is filed under the name uncultured bacterium. Its description in RNAcentral is "partial 16S ribosomal RNA". It matches the Rfam family "Bacterial small subunit ribosomal RNA", at positions 109 to 339 of the family's 1533-position model. The record is from RNAcentral.